GAUGAACGCUAGCGGCAGGCCUAACACAUGCGAGUCGAGGGAGAAGCCCUUUCGGGGGCAGAAACCGGCGCACGGGUGCGUAACGCGUAUGCAACCUACCUUUCACAGGGGGAUAGCCCGAAGAAAUUUGGAUUAAUACCCCAUAAUAUUAUUGGAUGGCAUCAUUUGAUAAUUAAAACUGCGGUGGUGAAAGAUGGGCAUGCGUCCUAUGAGCUAGUUGGAGUGGUAACGGCACCCCAAGGCUACGAUAGGUAGGGGUCCUGAGAGGGAGAUCCCCCACACUGGUACUGAGACAGGGACCAGAAUCCUACGGGAGGCAGCAGUGAGGAAUAUUGGUCAAUGGUCGGAAGACUGAACCAGCCAUGCCGCGUGCAGGAAGAAUGCCUUAUGGGUUGUAAACUGCUUUUAUAUGGGAAGAAUAAGGCGUACGUGUACGUUGAUGACGGUACCAUAUGAAUAAGCAUCGGCUAACUCCGUG
RNAcentral lists this ribosomal RNA (478 nucleotides) under uncultured bacterium. RNAcentral describes it as "partial 16S ribosomal RNA". It matches the Rfam family "Bacterial small subunit ribosomal RNA", at positions 28 to 507 of the family's 1533-position model. The record is from RNAcentral.